GUAAAUAAACAUUUUAAAAAAUUAAAAAAAAAAAAAAGAAUAGCUAACACUGAGGUAGCACUUGUGUGGUAGAUGUUACUCUUAAGUGUUUUUCCACAGUACUUCUAAUUCAUUUAAUAUUCAUAAUAGCCUUAUGAAGUAAAUACUAUUAUCAUCUCCAUUUUAUAGAUGAGGAAAUUGAGGGAUGAAGACUUCGAAUAAUUUUCCUACAGUUACAAAACUGGUUAGCAGUGGAGCAGGAUUCAGACCCACAUAGUUGGUCCCAGAGUCCCUUCUUUUAAACAUUAUACUAUAAUUAGGUGUAUGACUUUGAACAAGCCUCCUUUCUGUAAUUUAGGUUCCUAGCUCACAGAAAUGAUAAAUCAUAGGGUGUGGAUUAAAUUAUUCUACAAAUGUAAUCUUACUUUGCACCUGUUAGUAGGAGAUACAACUUGUAAGAAAUGCAUAUAUUUUUCUCAAAUAGCAAAGAAAAAAAGUUUAAUGAUAAUACCCAGUAGAAGUAAAUGUGAGAUAAAGAAAAAUUAUGGUCUCAUGCAUUGUGGUUUGGGGCACUCCUUUUUGAGAGUGUUUUUGUAAAUGGUAUCAAGAGCUAUUAAACGAAUUAUAGCCUUUCACCAAAUAAAUAAGCUUUUAAUCCUGA
Molecule: long non-coding RNA, 640 nt
Organism: Herpailurus yagouaroundi (jaguarundi)
Lineage: Eukaryota; Metazoa; Chordata; Mammalia; Carnivora; Felidae
Exons: 2
Source: RefSeq, a predicted model, not a curated record